AUGUAGCUUAUUUAAAGCAAAGCACUGAAAAUGCUUAGAUGGAUGCAAGCAUCCCAUAAACA
RNAcentral lists this transfer RNA (62 nucleotides) under Stenocranius gregalis (narrow-headed vole). RNAcentral's name for it is "tRNA-Phe". It matches the Rfam family "tRNA". From Rfam's summary of the family: Transfer RNA (tRNA) molecules are approximately 80 nucleotides in length. Their secondary structure includes four short double-helical elements and three loops (D, anti-codon, and T loops). The record is from RNAcentral. Lineage: Eukaryota; Metazoa; Chordata; Mammalia; Rodentia; Cricetidae.